Molecule: transfer RNA, 128 nt
Organism: Colletotrichum gloeosporioides Cg-14
Lineage: Eukaryota; Fungi; Ascomycota; Sordariomycetes; Glomerellales; Glomerellaceae
Rfam family: tRNA
About the family: Transfer RNA (tRNA) molecules are approximately 80 nucleotides in length.
Source: Rfam
GGGCGCUUGGUCUAGGGGUAUGAUUUUCGCUUCGCACCUUCCAGCCGAUGCUGUGUUCACGAAGUGUUCCAGUGUUAAUUGAGUUGCGCCUUUGUGAAAGGUCGUGGGUUCAAUUCCCACAGUGUCCA